This is a long non-coding RNA of Ixodes scapularis (black-legged tick), 228 nucleotides long. RefSeq lists it as uncharacterized. The transcript is spliced from 3 exons. The record is from RefSeq and is a predicted model, not a curated record. NCBI's taxonomy places the organism in Eukaryota, Metazoa, Arthropoda, Arachnida, Ixodida, Ixodidae.
UUUUAUGCAGGCGUGCCAGUCCUCGAACCUGACUCGUGCAGCCAACCAGGAACGAGUUCUGUCGACACAGCCAGCUGCAGUGCAGGUGUGGCAGUCCUCGAAACUCACUCAUACAGUCAACCAGGAACGAGUUCUGUCGACACAGCCAGCUGCAGUGCAGGAGUGCAGACCGAUCUCACUUUUGGGCGAAUUGAAGCAAUCGAAUCUACUAGCCUUGUGCAGACGGCC